AUUGAACGCUGGCGGCAUGCUUUACACAUGCAAGUCGAACGGUAACAGGCCGCAAGGUGCUGACGAGUGGCGAACGGGUGAGUAAUGCAUCGGAACGUGCCCAGUCGUGGGGGAUAACUACUCGAAAGAGUAGCUAAUACCGCAUACGAUCUAUGGAUGAAAGCGGGGGACCGUAAGGCCUCGCGCGAUUGGAGCGGCCGAUGUCAGAUUAGGUAGUUGGUGGGGUAAAGGCUCACUAAGCCAACGAUCUGUAGCUGGUCUGAGAGGACGACCAGCCACACUGGGACUGAGACACGGCCCAGACUCCUACGGGAGGCAGCAGUGGGGAAUUUUGGACAAUGGGCGCAAGCCUGAUCCAGCAAUGCCGCGUGCAGGAAGAAGGCCUUCGGGUUGUAAACUGCUUUUGUACGGAACGAAACGGCUCUGGUUAAUACCCGGGGCUAAUGACGGUACCGUAAGAAUAAGCACCGGCUAACUACGUG
RNAcentral lists this ribosomal RNA (482 nucleotides) under uncultured bacterium. RNAcentral describes it as "partial 16S ribosomal RNA". It matches the Rfam family "Bacterial small subunit ribosomal RNA", at positions 30 to 507 of the family's 1533-position model. The record is from RNAcentral.